CUUCAGUAAGUAUAUAAAUGUACAUUUACCUUCCAAGUAAAAAGUCUGAUCUUUGCAGGCUGAAGA
RNAcentral lists this transfer RNA (66 nucleotides) under Sakuraeolis japonica. RNAcentral's name for it is "tRNA-Gly". Lineage: Eukaryota; Metazoa; Mollusca; Gastropoda; Nudibranchia; Glaucidae. The record is from RNAcentral.